GUGCUUGUGGUGUAGUGGUUAUCACAUCCGCCUAACACGCGGAAGGCCCAGGUUUCGAUCCCUGGCAGGCACA
This 73-nucleotide transfer RNA is filed under the name Rhipicephalus microplus (southern cattle tick). Its description in RNAcentral is "tRNA-Val". It matches the Rfam family "tRNA". From Rfam's summary of the family: Transfer RNA (tRNA) molecules are approximately 80 nucleotides in length. Their secondary structure includes four short double-helical elements and three loops (D, anti-codon, and T loops). Further hydrogen bonds mediate the characteristic L-shaped molecular structure. tRNAs have two regions of fundamental functional importance: the anti-codon, which is responsible for specific mRNA codon recognition, and the 3' end, to which the tRNAs corresponding amino acid is attached (by aminoacyl-tRNA synthetases). tRNAs cope with the degeneracy of the genetic code in two manners: having more than one tRNA (with a specific anti-codon) for a particular amino acid; and 'wobble' base-pairing, i.e. permitting non-standard base-pairing at the 3rd anti-codon position. The record is from Rfam by way of RNAcentral. Lineage: Eukaryota; Metazoa; Arthropoda; Arachnida; Ixodida; Ixodidae.